UCCGGUAUAGUGUAAUGGCUAUCAUACCGCUCUCUCAUCAGUCAUGUGAUCAGCGGUGAUCUGGGUUCAAUUCCCAGUGCCGGAA
Molecule: non-coding RNA, 85 nt
Organism: Tulasnella calospora MUT 4182
Lineage: Eukaryota; Fungi; Basidiomycota; Agaricomycetes; Cantharellales; Tulasnellaceae
Source: the annotation of a GenBank genome assembly